Manduca sexta (tobacco hornworm) is the source of this 3850-nucleotide long non-coding RNA. RefSeq lists it as uncharacterized. Lineage: Eukaryota; Metazoa; Arthropoda; Insecta; Lepidoptera; Sphingidae. The transcript is spliced from 3 exons. The record is from RefSeq and is a predicted model, not a curated record.
GAUGGUUUCAGAUUCCGCAAAACGAAUCUGUCGUGACGCGCAAGCAAAGCGGGCUAACCCAAUCGUCGGUCGCAUUAUGUUGUGGGUGUGAUUGAAAUGGUUGUCAGUGGGUCAUCGAUGUUAGCUAUCAUCGCCUGGCCUGGCCCAGUAUUACAAGGAACUCAGGACCACGCAGAUUACUUGGAAUUGUGGUUAAUAUUGUUUAUAGAUAAACUAGAAGCCUAAUUUAUACUCGUGACUCAACAAUGUUAUGUGUUGAUAGUUUUUUUAUGCCAGAAAAGCGUAAUGGGACGUUUAUAUCGGUAAACUUUCCUCACCCGGGCGGAGCCAUGAGCAACUACUAAAGCAAGAGUGUCUCGUCGAUGUGCGCGGCAAACCUGGAACUGCUCGGCCAGAAUCUAGAGUGGCUUCUCUGCACCUGACGUUAAGCGAAGUGAAGCCUGUAGAAAGUGCCGACCGGCCAAAGAUACAAACAUCCCCUGACGGUCGGCACAGUCUUGCUGCCCUGCAUAAUUGCUUCUGUACGCUCCGCUUGAAGGACCCCAAGUUAUAGGAAGGAGGGAACACGAAUGCUGGCAAACCAUUCCACAGCCUGAUUCCUUGUGCGGCACCUGGAUGAGUUUCCAAACUUUUUGAUUCGCGCCAAGAUGGAAAACACCACCAAGCGGUGUUUCCGAAAGCCAGCACGCGUGGUACUGGAAAGGAAAGGUUUUUACAUCAGGUCAUCGGUUUCUGCGUCUACAGCUAACAUACAGAUUUUGACAUUUAUAAUAUUAGGGUUUUACGUCUAAUAACAUACCACGUAGGUUCAUGUCACAUCUAUGACCCAGCCGAUGUUUGGGUAGUCAAAGGGCAUUCAACUCUUUUACAUAUUUAUUUUUAUUAUAAUAUAAACACUGUAAUAGUUAGGUAACAAACACUAAGGCGGAGUAAUAUAAUGCACGCAUUAAAUUAUAUAAAAGCUAACAAAGUAGGGAAAUGGAAAUGCUUACGCAAAUCUUAAUAGGCAAAUCUGUAGUUAGCCGACAAAAUAAAUCGUGAGCGAAUCAUGGUGUCACAAGUAUAAACAGAAUGCUCACAUUAAACUGUUCGGCUCGGGAUAUACAUUAUACACUGCCAUUAGUUUAAUGGACAAUAUUAAAAAGCGUAGAUUACUUAAUUCAUACACGCUUACGUCUUUUAUUUCUGAUGGGAUAGGUAGAAAGGCAAUUAGUAAACACUGUUCAUCACACCAUGUGAUGGAAUAUACCGUCAUAUGGUGUAAUGAGGGCGAGCAGUAAAUUCAUAAUUUUGAAGUCAAAAGCGUUAAAUCCCUAACAGUUCAAAUUGUCAGCAAGAAACUCUUAAUAUUCUAAACGUAGCAAAUUGACAACACAAAGUAAAUGCGGAUGUUGCAAAAUGUUAGCGGAACCAUCCGCUACUGCCGUUAUAGGUUUUUACAAACUUCCUUUAUUUAAUGUCAUUUGACAUUGUGAUUACCGGAUUUGAAUUUCUAAAUGUUGCCCGUUAUGGCAUUAAUAUAGCGAUUCCAAUAUGAAAUGUGUAACGUACCCAUCAACUGGUUUGUAUAACCUUAACACACAUUCAACGCGUUAAAUAAACGUGGAAACUCUUUAUUUUACUAAAAAUAUAAGUACUUGCAAAUAUCCCGGUCUUGUAUAAUAUAAUAGAUAUGGCUAAUGGGAAAGAAGAUCCUAUGUGCGAUAAUAGUGUUAAUUACUUCAUGAGUCUAUCCCGUCUAUCAACUGUAAGCCACGAUUAGCAACAAGUAUUUUAAUGAAAGCGAGUAUAAAAGCUCGUGGACUUUUUAAAAAAAUAGCAGUUGAGAAAGAAAUUAUUUUCCACUAUCUCUCGAAAUGCGGAAGACAACAAAUUACUAAAAUGGUAAAUUUAUUUUGAAGACAUUUAUAACGUAAUGUAAUAUUCUAUCUCCUUUUUCUUUAUGUUCAGACAUUAAGUUCGAUAUUAUAUUACGCGUAUUUUGAAUGGUGUAUUUGUUGUAUUAUAAUAUGUAGUUAUUUUCUAAUGUUAUAUAUAUUAAGUAUUUGAUGUUAUAUGUGUUCUAUUAUACUACUUAAGUAGUAAUUUCUAAUCCCUUUUAUUACUCGAUAAGAUCGCCAUUUGUACUUCCUGUUUGUUUAUAUUCUUUAUUGUAAGUAUAUAAACUUUUCUAUAAGACUUGAUGUACUUACAAUAACGAGUUUUAUUAAAUACAUAACGGAAAAGACCAGUUGUUUACUUCGUAAAGUUAUAACACGUUGGUGUAUAAAAUUUCAAUGAUGAGACAUCUCUUUCAAUUGUUAGAAGAGGUUGUCGACCCAGAGUCACAGGAUUCACAACCCACACACGGUGAGUCGGAAUAUCUACCUUGUUCAGCUGAGACAUAAAAAAAAUAAAUUUACAUACACCCACAUUCGCGUCUUUUGUCCUCGAGGGGUAGGCAGAGGCGUUAUACCAAAGUACCCAAACUUCGCUGUUACCGGUCUCAAGAUUUAAUAGGGGUUGUAUUGCCUUUUGCCGGAUCGGUUACACUCUGGCUGAACUAAACAUAUUGAUACAUAAUAUACAGACUAAUAGGAUUAACGUGCUCCAUUAGGCAUACUGUUUUCAAUCAUGAUUUAAGUAAGUAUUAUAUUUAAGUACUGGCAUUGCAGAUGUUGAUGGGCGGCGGUGUAUACUUACUAACAAGUGAACCGUAUGCCUGUUUGCCUCCUAUAACCUACAACAUAAAAAAGUAAGGAAUAUCAGGAAUUCCGUCCCAAGUUAAAAGUAUGGUGGUCAUAGAAUUUGUGUUUUGGAUCAUAGAAUAGCUGUAUGGAUACAAUUGAAAUUACAGCUUCUUAUUCACAUACCAAUAUAUAUUGCUUUCCUUAAAGACCAAUAUGAAACCUAUGUAUCUUCAGUUAUGGGCCAUUCAGGCCACUAAUUAACUUCAGGUGAACAAUGUGCACGUUUACCGGUGCCAUGAAAAAACCUAUCUGGCAAUCACUAUUAAAACUAAAACCUCCGGGGAUUAUACUAAUUUUAAUAAAACCGUCAUUAAUUUUGCCAAAUAUGCAUUUUAUUAUUGUGCGAAUGGUUAGUAUAGGGAAAAGAAAUCGAUUUAUGGUAGCAAAUUCUCUUUUAUAAAUACAGAUAUUUUCUCCCUUAUAACUUUUACUAUAAUUCUCUGCCCACUGCAUUGUGGGCAGUUUCUCCUCCGUUACGAUAUUUUUUAUCCCAAAAUUGAACUGUAAACAUUACUAAUCAGUUUAAGCUAAUGAUAAUCCAGAAAAACUACGUUUAAGUUCUUCAUACAAUUCAUGAAUGAAAAUAAAAAUAUUUAACACAUUUAUCAAAACGAAGAAACCUGCUCAAUGUAUAUCAAAUUUACGAAACAAAAAUACGUCAUAUUUUUAUUUAGCCUACUUGUUAUGUGUUUUUUGUUUUACGGUGAGCCUGCAGUGAUCACGGCAUGGCCAUCCAUGUUGCCACUGGCAUAGUAAACUCGUGUAAAGGUCAUUGUUCACAAUGGUUCUUGCAUGUUAAUGAACGUACACUCAUCACUUCCGCAAAUCACAGCCAACUGUGCAUUAUAUUGUUAUCUAUUUGCAGGAUAUUCCUUUCCUUUGUACGUCCAUUUUGUAAUAACAUUGUUUAUUUUACCUAUACUGCGGUGAGUAAUACGCGAACAGCUGUGAUGCCCCAAGACUUCAUAUCUUAAUUUUUCUUUGCGGUAUGUAAGGUUAACGCAAUAAUGAUGCCUGACGGUUGUUCGAAAUUUUUACAGUUCCACUAUUUAUUAUGUUAUGAAAAGAUUAUGUAUUUAAUAUUGUAUGCACAAAAUAAUGAAUGAUUUUUUUUAUUUAUU